RNAcentral lists this small RNA (264 nucleotides) under Arabidopsis thaliana (thale cress). Its description in RNAcentral is "ATSL244660". Lineage: Eukaryota; Viridiplantae; Streptophyta; Magnoliopsida; Brassicales; Brassicaceae. The record is from RNAcentral.
UAUUAGGGUUACAAUGAUUUUAUACUUUUAAGAAAUCUUAGAACCUAUCACUUACAAAUGAGUAAAUGACCAUUACUCCUCGAGAAUCUAAGGCGCUUAAGGAAGCAUUGCGAAUCGGGUGUGAAAAAGAUCUAUUUUUGAAUUAUUUCACACAAUUUCUUAAUGUCAAUUUUCGAUGCUCCCAUAUUCUCCACGGUUUAAAGCAAGAUUGGUGGGAAAGGGAUAUUCUCGCAUCGAUUACAAUGAAAUAUGGGUUGAAAAAAA